CAUCCUGCUCCUCCGAUGAGGAGGUGGCAGCAGCACUGCCUCCUGUAUGGACCAGGCCUCUCCCAGGCUUGCAUUCCCCCAUACUACCAGAGGAGGAAUCUGAGGAUGGGGAGUGGCCUGAGACUCCUCCACUACCAUCAACGCCUGUAGAAGAGGUAGACCUCCAAGGCCUCCAGGAGGGCGAGGGCCAAACAUGGUCUCCAGGACCCCCCAGCACUCCCGCUACUACCACCACCCGACCACCCACCCACCCACUUCAUGAUGCCGGCACAUCUGUACCGUCAAUAAUCCCACCACAGCCAGAAUCCGGCAAUCCACCUCCUCCCG
This is a long non-coding RNA of Pseudophryne corroboree (corroboree frog), 327 nucleotides long. RefSeq lists it as uncharacterized. The record is from RefSeq and is a predicted model, not a curated record. Lineage: Eukaryota; Metazoa; Chordata; Amphibia; Anura; Myobatrachidae. The transcript has 5 exons.